GCGGGUAUAGCUCAGUGGUAUAGAGUGCAUGCUUAGAGUCCUGGGUUCAAUCCCCAGUACCUCCA
Molecule: transfer RNA, 65 nt
Filed under: Camelus bactrianus (Bactrian camel)
Lineage: Eukaryota; Metazoa; Chordata; Mammalia; Artiodactyla; Camelidae
Also listed under: 2 other names
Rfam family: tRNA
About the family: Transfer RNA (tRNA) molecules are approximately 80 nucleotides in length.
Source: Rfam by way of RNAcentral